This 460-nucleotide ribosomal RNA is filed under the name uncultured bacterium. RNAcentral describes it as "partial 16S ribosomal RNA". It matches the Rfam family "Bacterial small subunit ribosomal RNA", at positions 338 to 795 of the family's 1533-position model. The record is from RNAcentral.
CCUACGGGUGGCAGCAGUGAGGAAUAUUGGUCAAUGGACGAAAGUCUGAACCAGCCAAGUAGCGUGAAGGAUGACUGCCCUAUGGGUUGUAAACUGCUUUUAUGUGGGAAUAAAACGUUCCACGUGUGGGGUUUUGUAUGUACCGUAUGAAUAAGGAUCGGCUAACUCCGUGCCAGCAGCCGCGGUAAUACGGAGGAUCCGGGCGUUAUCCGGAUUUAUUGGGUUUAAAGGGAGCGUAGGUGGAUUGUUAAGUGUGUUGUGAAAGUUUGUGGCUCAACCGUAGAAUUGCAGUUGAAACUGGCAGUCUUGAGUACAGUGAAGGUGGGCGGAAUUCGUGGUGUAGCGGUGAAAUGCUGAGAUAUCACGAAGAACUCCGAUUGCGAAGGCAGUUCACUGGACUGCAACUGACACUGAGGCUCGAAAGUGUGGGUAUCAAACAGGAUUAGAUACCCUUGUAGUC